Molecule: regulatory RNA element, 77 nt
Rfam family: c-di-GMP-I-GGC riboswitch aptamer
Source: Rfam
CUAGAUAAAGCCAAAACCCGGGUAACCGGGUGACGGAAAGCCACGGGCCCUGCGAAUGGGCAGCCGGGUUGCCUGGG